GGAAAAAACCUCUUACUUCCACCUCAAGAAUCUCUCCAGGGCAUGGAUGGCCAUGAACCGCUGAGCGAUUCUGAGAAUGGCAAACCUUUAGAAAUCUUAGCAGUUCUACCUGAUCCGACUCAGGUUAUCAGGAGACCAGCCGAGGAGACAGAAGGGCUUUGAUUUUCCUCCUCUCUGUUUCCAGUGGGGAAGAAGGUGGUGAAAGCAAAAGCUCCUGUCACGAGUCUUGGGUUCUCUCCAUUGCGCUUGGAAUCCUGAGAGAAAAUCAUGAAGGAAGAAAAUUCUUCCUUGGUCGGAAACCAUGCUAGAAGAGUUGAACCUGAAUACAUGACAGAGGUACCAGCAUGGGUGCCCUUGUCUGGCGAUAAAGGGGGAGAAAGCAAAGGGCACAAGACUUUUGGGAUACCGAGUGGCAGCGGUUCCUGAAGACCUUUCAGACCUUUCAGAACCCACUGGGGCCAAAGAUGGCCCCAUGGGAUGAUACCAAGGCUUUCCUGGCCUCCUUUGAGCAAGUGGCCAGGGCUUGUCGGUGGCCUCCAGGAGAGUGGGUGGCCCGGCUCUUGCCAGCACUGAAUGGAGAAGCCGAAGAGGCCUUUUAGAGCCUGGAAGCCAUAGACAGGGAGGAUUAUGGGAAAGUGAAGGCUGCCAUCUUGCGAGGGGAUGCCCUGAGGAUGGAGGUGAGAUGCCAGCACUUCAGGGACUUCUCCUGCCAGGAGGUGGAAGACCCCCGGAGGCUUCACAGCCAAGUCCAAGAGCUUGCCACCGGUGGCUGAGGCCAGAGAGACGCAGCAAGGAGCAGAUCCUGGAGCUGCUGAUCCUGGAGCAGUUCCUGGCCAGCCUUCCCCCGGACCUCCAGGGCUGGAUCCGGGCAGGAGGGCCCGACACGUGUUCCCAGGCCGUGGCCCUGAUGGAGGACUUCCUCGUGAGCCAGGAACAAGCUGAGAGGAGGAGGUGGCAGGGGCCGAUGAAGAAGGAGUGUGUGGGUUUCCUGGACACAGAGGAGUCGUCGUCAGAUACUGCAGAAGGGCCCAUCUAUAAAGAGGCCAGGCAGAAUGGUGGUGGGGACGUCAGCGCUCCGAGACCAAAAACGCUUGAAGGAGACAAGCCUGUCGUUGCAGGUUGUCAAGCGGAGUCUCUCUCAAGCGGGCCAGGAGACCAUGGUCUGGCAUGUUUUUCGGGAGGAUGGUUCCGGGAACAUGGAUUCUUUGGGUAAGGAGCCGUUUCCUCAAGUCUCAUGAGCCUCUACCCAGAUUGUUGGGGUAAGGAGCCGUUUCCUCAAGUCUCAUGAGUCUCCACCCACCCAAUGUGUCAUUUGCAGGGCUGGAGAAGAGCCAACCAGCAGAAAGAGGAGGGAUGUUUUCAUGUACAGUGGUUCCUUGCUUUACGAUUGCCCUGCAUUACGAUGAAACUGCAUUACGACGGUGUUUUGCGAUUGCAUUUAUGAUCGGAAAACCGUGGUCUGAAUGGGGUUUUUCGCUUUGCGUUCAUCGGGUCC
RNAcentral lists this long non-coding RNA (1495 nucleotides) under Pogona vitticeps (central bearded dragon). Its description in RNAcentral is "lncRNA (ENSPVIG00000008378.1)". Lineage: Eukaryota; Metazoa; Chordata; Lepidosauria; Squamata; Agamidae. The record is from RNAcentral.